AAAGCAGGUGGGAGCUUCAGCCAAUGGAAAAGCGCGAAUACAGAAUACUUCCGGUGGGAGCGCUUCCGCGGGGAGUUGAAAAUGGCUCGUCGGCCUACACGGUUCUCCGCUUUCUGGCUGCGGAGGGUGGCCGUUGUGGGCUGUAAAUUGAGAGAUUAAAGAAGGAAAAAGAGGAGUCAAGAGUGUCUGCUUCUUCGGGCUCAUCCCCAGUCUCCUGCUUUCCAAGCUAGCCUUAUCAAGGAGUCCAUGUGAAAGUUGGAUGCAGUGGCACACAUCUGUAAUCCCAGCACUCCUACAGAUAUAUGUGAGAGGAAAAGGAGAAUCACUGAGACGCCUAUGGGCCAGCUAGCCUGGAGAGCCUAGUGCAUCAGCAGAAGAGAGAUCCUGCUUGAAAACAAGCUUGAAUUGGCCCUACAAGAGAUCAUUCCUGGACUAGUUGCCCUGGAAAGGCUGGAAAAGACCAUCAUGGAGUCUCUGUACCUUUCACAUCAAUGGAAAAUUAAAAUGUGCCCUCUGAGGAGGCCAGAAGAGGGCAUCAGCUCUCUUGGAGCAGCAGGAGGCCCACUUGCUCAGCAAGAAACAAAGGCAGCAAGCAGAACAUGAAGCCACUGUAAAGAAAAAGAUUGACAGGCCAGCAAGAAAAUCAACUCAAGCAACCUGCUUGGACUCGCCAUGGACCCUAACUGCUCCUGUGUUACAGAUGGAUCCUGCUCUUGUGCAGGCUCCUGCAAGUGCUAAGAGUACAGAUGUACCUCCUGCAAGAAGAGC
Nannospalax galili (Upper Galilee mountains blind mole rat) is the source of this 768-nucleotide long non-coding RNA. RefSeq lists it as uncharacterized. The transcript is spliced from 6 exons. The record is from RefSeq and is a predicted model, not a curated record. Lineage: Eukaryota; Metazoa; Chordata; Mammalia; Rodentia; Spalacidae.